RNAcentral lists this long non-coding RNA (557 nucleotides) under Nicotiana benthamiana. RNAcentral describes it as "long non-coding RNA (NBEN_LNC007455)". The record is from RNAcentral. Lineage: Eukaryota; Viridiplantae; Streptophyta; Magnoliopsida; Solanales; Solanaceae.
AAAUCUCAAAGUCACUUCAAGAACUCAAAUCAUAAAUUCUAGAGUUUCACAAAGAGGUAAUCCCUUCACUCCAAACUUAGGUACUAUACUCCAUGGGCUUAGUAGAGUAUAUGUAUGAAUGAUAGAUUUAUAUUUAAACAUCUAUUCAUCGAACCCUAGAAGAGUUGGUUGGUAGGGAUGAUAAAUAGUGUUGGGUCUUGUUUGAACGAUGUUAUUUCGAGCUUCUAGUGGAACGAAUAGAUCCCAUGAUAUGUUUAAUGAAGGAUUUGGAGUUAAAAUUCAAGGAUUUACCUACAAAUGAUGAAAUGGGAAUGUUCGCUGAGCUUAUGAAAUUAGGCUUAAAGUGUUAAACACUUAGUUGGGUUAGCUGGUAUUGUCGUGACUCGUUAUUGAAUUAUGUGAGUUCGUAUAUAUACAUUGUGACUCAUCGCCAUGAUCGGAUCAUUCGGGGUAAGGUUGGAAGUAAUUUGAGAUAUGGUGAAACUUAUUACCUUUGGAGCUUUUCUUCAAACUCAUAUCGAAACAUGAUUAAAUUGAGCUUCUAAAUGUGAAUCCUA